This is a long non-coding RNA of Pristis pectinata (smalltooth sawfish), 2505 nucleotides long. RefSeq lists it as uncharacterized. The transcript has 3 exons. Lineage: Eukaryota; Metazoa; Chordata; Chondrichthyes; Rhinopristiformes; Pristidae. The record is from RefSeq and is a predicted model, not a curated record.
ACAUGUGGAUGUAGUUUCUACAGAAAGUAAAUAUGUAUGGUAGAAAAAUAGUGCCACUGCUUAUAUCCUCCAGAAAUACUGAAGCUAGAAAAAGGAACAACUUAAACUUGCACAUCCCCACUCUGUCCCAACCUAAUCACCAAUGAAUUGCAUUUGGUUGCUUUGCUUUUGUAUCUGCAGCAAUUUGAAACAUAGCAUAAUUCUACAAACACCUUGGUGCUCCCUAUCUGUGGAACCCUCUUCAACCCUACAAGACGUCUGAGUGGCACUGACAUGAAAGAACAAUCAAUUUGGAUCGCAAAGGGAUAUUUACUGAUAAAGGAGGUUUACAAGGGAAGGUGAAAGGAAACAUCUGUGGAAACUGCAGACAUGAUAAAAGUAAGUCAUGAUUGAGGAAGUGUGAAUUCUGAUGCUUUAAGAUCAGACACACAUCACCUGAAAGACUUCUCCAUGCUGAGCCAUCAGGAGCAUCGGGGUGAGCAAAAGAUGCCCACAAGCUAAUCACUUUCAUCCAAAACAAUCCAUGACCCUCUAUGGCGAAGCACUACCUUCCCAAGGAGAAUAAAAGGGGUAUCUACAAGACAAUAGCACAUCUAAAGGAGGAAGAUGGAGCAUGGCAAACAGAACACUGUAGAUGAUGCCCACACGAAGGAAAUUGGAAGCAGGAAGAGACACUGUAUACCUCUUGCCUUUGAGUACUGAUAUGGUACUUUUCUGCAAUGUUCAACAACACUCCAACUUAAAGAACUGGAAUUUCUGCAUCUUGUGUCAAAAUUGGUCAAGAAUCCCCAGUAAGACAGGAUGGGGGUCCUCUAUCUCAAUUAAGUCAUUCCAUCAAAACUGGAAGAAAUUUUCCCUCAGUGUUAAAGUUUGAAAUGGAAAGUAUCCAUACAGAAGGAGAAAACAAAUCGCUGACACCAGAGGAAUUUUUGAAAGAAUAUUGGUUUUGCUCCUUCAGUAAGCAGCAUGGUUCUUUUUUAUGAAUAAUCUAUUAGAUUCAUCUACAAAUUCCAAAAAUAACAGCAUACUGUCUGAAUUGGCAAAUGGGGAAUACUUUCAAUAGGGCUUUGCAGGUUGCAUGCAACUUGGUUAAAUUCUUCAGGUAGUUUGGCAGCUAUACUAAAUUAUAUCUUGCUGUUAAAUCAUAAAAAAAGAACAAAAAUUUAACACAUUUCCCAUAAGUGCAGCACUCAAAUGACUGCUUUCUUUAUUGUGCUUUAUUUCCUAACAUUAGGUUUAUUGACCAAAGGAGUACCAUCCUUUGUUUUAAUUGCAUUGUUUUGUUGAUGUACAUCAAUAAUAUAAAUCUUUUACAACUGAUCCUUUAUCUUCUAAUGUUUAUUUCUGGUGGAGUAGAUAUGUAUAAUGUGGUAGAUUUGCUCCACUCACAUGUAGAGAUUUUUAAGUCUGAGAAGCAUGACUUUGCCAGAGCUGGUAUCAGCAACAAUCAAAACCUAGCUGAUCGUAUCACUAUAAGAGCAACAGUUUUGGUCCCACUCACUCUGAAUGAUGUAGCUCUUGGAGAGAAGCGACGGAAGGGACUGUUGUUUGAACUGGAAUGAUCAGGGAUAUUUUCCUUUUUCUCCUGUUGUACUCCGCAUUUUUCAUCCUGAAAUGAUAUUUUAACAACUAUUAAAAUUGGUACGUUCUUUCCCAAUUAUUCAAUAAUCUACCUAUUACACCUGGGCAACAUUCCAAGUGGAAAUAACGUCAUUCAAUUUAGCCGGAUCUGGACCUGUUACAUGCCCAGGGUCAGCAUUCUUUCCAAUAGAUUCUUGACUUGGAUGAGGGUGGGUAUUGGAGAGAGAGGGGGGUGGAGAGUAGUUGAAAUUUAUCUAUUGCCAUGGAAUGUAAAAGCUUACUGAAGCUUUGAGUAUGCUGUAACUCUUGGUGAUCCCUUAAAGUCUACAAACAUUCAGUCUGGUUCUUUGUCAGCAGAGUUCAUAUUUUUAAAAACUGCCAAGAUAAAAUUCCUUUUGUUUCUGAUGGGGGCAGUGCAGUGGCCAUAUGUCUAAAUAGAAAUGUUGAUGAAGUAGAUGAUUUCUUCAUUGAGAAGUCAAAAGAAAUCUGAAAGAAUUUGCCUUUUUAUAUUGUGCAUUAUCAUAUCUUUUCCUCUCUCAAAGCAUUUUAAAAACAGUAAAACUUUAAUCCAGCACCCAUAAGACUUCAGUGCUAGAUAGGUACAUUUCCCAAAUUAUUGGAUAUUACUCCUAUUGAUAUCCCAACAUGCUCUUAAUUCAAGAUGUUAUACAGUAGUGUAAAUUUUUCUGUUAACCAGGUAUGUUUAAAUGGAGCAUAGGGAAACAGGGCCUGUGGGUUUAAACAGGAGUGUGGGAAUAGGGCCUGAUGAACCAGAUGCCAAACUAUCAAGGUUCCUGGACAAUCUGAUAGUGGAUUGUUGGAGUUUUACUGUAGAAUGUUUUUUUGAAAUGCAUUCAUUGUUAUUAUGUAAGUAAGAGUUACAAUGAUUAACAGAAACAAUAAAGCUAAUAGCAACUAAAAGUC